CGACCAAGCUACACCCCAAGUGAAUGCGCCUAUUUUAACGCUAUGAAAUUCUUAAUCAAAGCUUUUUCUUUCCAACAGGAGGGCAAAGCGAAAUCGCUCAAGAUAACCAUUUACAGCGGGAAUGCAGCUCCAAUCACGAUUCAUUUGCCGAAAAAAAUGCGGAGAAAAUACAUCGUCAAAUGUUGCGGAUUUAAAACGUGUCUGCCACCACCAGUUAACGCCACAACUAAAAUAACUUCUACAACCGCACCCAAGCGCAAAAGCGAACCCGUAAAGGUACUAACGAUUCGAGCGACCGUUUCGACAGGAAGCGAGCCUGAUGAGUCGAAAAUUAUUGACGUCAGCACUUUACCUG
Molecule: long non-coding RNA, 355 nt
Organism: Cloeon dipterum
Lineage: Eukaryota; Metazoa; Arthropoda; Insecta; Ephemeroptera; Baetidae
Exons: 3
Source: RefSeq, a predicted model, not a curated record